RNAcentral lists this ribosomal RNA (440 nucleotides) under uncultured bacterium. Its description in RNAcentral is "partial 16S ribosomal RNA". It matches the Rfam family "Bacterial small subunit ribosomal RNA", at positions 338 to 795 of the family's 1533-position model. The record is from RNAcentral.
CCUACGGGAGGCUGCAGUGAGGAAUAUUGCUCAAUGGGGGAGAGCCUGAAGCAGCAAAGCCGCGUGAAGGAUGACGGUUUUAUGGGUUGUAACUCCUUUUGUUAGAGGAGCUAAUGACUGUAUCUGACGACUAAGCACGGGCUAACGCCGUAACAGCAUCCGCGGGAAUCGGGCGGGUACACGCGGUACUCGGGAUCACUUGAGUGAAAGCGCGCGUAGGCGGGAUAGUAAGUCCGAUGGGAAAUCUUAUGGCUUAACCAUAGAACUGCAUUUGAAACUGUUAUUCUAGAGUAUGGGAGAGGUAGGUGGAAUUCUUGGUGUAGGGGUAAAAUCCGGAGAGAUCAAGAGGAAUACUCAUUGCGAAGGCGACCUGCCAGAACACAACUGACGCUGAUGCGCGAAAGCGUGGGGAGCAAACAGGAUUAGAUACCCUUGUAGUC